AAAACCAAAAUUUACGUAAUUCGACAAUUACCUUGUUCAUUGGGAGAGUGAAAAAGAUGUAUUCCACUAUUGAAGAAAUAAAAGUACAGACUUAUACAUUAUGUCUUCUUCAGAUAAAAAAACUAAGAGUUUUAUAGUAAAUCCCAUCUUUCUCUUAUUCCAACUAAAACUCUAAACACCCCUUAACCCCUUAACCCCCAUAUUAUUCCCAAACACUCCCAAAAAUGGGUAGGGUUAGCUAACCCCACUUCAAAUGGGCAAUUCCGGAUUAGCUAACCCCACCAAACCCCAACCAAACACUAUUUUCUAGUCAUAAUAACUCACUAUCGUUCUUAUCCCACCUACUCCAACCAAACACUAUUUUUCACUAUCCUGGACUAAUUCCAACCUCCAACCAAACAUAAAAAUACUCCAACCCUAUCUUAACCCUGAACUUAACCCUAUCCCUGGAAUAACUAAUUUUUUCUUAACCCCGAACCAAACGGUAGCUAAAAAAUAAUCAAUAAAAGCUUUUCGUAAAGUUGUAAUCGAAAUGACUAAAUUAAAGAAGUAUAAAAAUCUCUGACCAACCCCUUUAUACAGUUGUUUCGAAGAAUUCAAACCACUCAGACAGCUAGUUGAGAACUGCCGCUCUGCUGUCGACUUUGAUCUGCGGCAUGCAUGCUGCCUCUUUUAUGUCGUACGGUCACCUGUGCCUAGGGAUGGCAAUCCAGCUCGCUGUUUACGAGCCAGCUCAUGUUCGGCUCGAAAUCCGUUCGAAAUCGAGUCGCUCGUUUAGUAAACAAGCUGAACACGUUGUUUAAUAAACGAGCCGAACACGAGCUGGAUCAACUCGUUUGUAUUCGGUUCGAUAACAGUGUGAAUAUAUAUAUUUUAUAUUCAUAUAAUUUAUAUUUAUAUAAAUAAAUAAAUAAUUAUAUAUAUAAUAUAAAUUUUUAUUAUUUAUUUUUUAGUUCAGUCUAAAUAUAAAGUCCAACUCAAUUAAAAAAAACAUUCAUGUAUAUAUAAAAUUUCAAUCAUUAGAUCAAAACUUGAUAGAUACAAUCUCACAAAUUUAUUUAUUUUUUAUAUAUAUUUUUUAAUCCUUUUAAUUUCAUAUUCGGCUCGUAUUUGAUUCGUUAAUAAAUAAAUCGGAGACGAACUAAAUUUUUCGACUCAAUCCUAUAACGAGUCAGCUUGUAUUCACGAGCCGAUG
RNAcentral lists this long non-coding RNA (1195 nucleotides) under Ananas comosus (pineapple). Its description in RNAcentral is "long non-coding RNA (ACOM_LNC006198)". The record is from RNAcentral. Lineage: Eukaryota; Viridiplantae; Streptophyta; Magnoliopsida; Poales; Bromeliaceae.